Molecule: non-coding RNA, 238 nt
Organism: Drosophila suzukii
Lineage: Eukaryota; Metazoa; Arthropoda; Insecta; Diptera; Drosophilidae
Source: RefSeq, a predicted model, not a curated record
GUCAUUUGCCGUGUGAUUUAGCAAAGUGAAGACGUGCGCGUAACACAAAGUUAAAAAACUUUUGUAGUGAACUGGGCAUUCGUGCCACCCUUCCGUACCUCGAGGCCUCUUUGCUUUUCGCUAGACCAGACAGCUAAGGGAAUAAUAUCAUAACCCAUAACAUGGAACAUAAACUUAAAUAAAAAAUAAUAUGUUUGUAUAUAUAUAACUGUAUUACAAAAUAUAAUGAAAAAAAAUA